Molecule: ribosomal RNA, 462 nt
Filed under: Triticum aestivum (bread wheat)
Lineage: Eukaryota; Viridiplantae; Streptophyta; Magnoliopsida; Poales; Poaceae
Description: partial small subunit ribosomal RNA
Source: RNAcentral
AUGGAAGGUGAUGGUGAGUGGAAGCGUCAUGGCCGCUGGAGGAUGCCGUUCAUUGGCCGUGCUUACUUUGUCCCUGAGUUGGAUCUCUGGGUUGGGCUUGGCAAACACAGACGGAUCUUCGCAAUUGAUGUGGUAUCUGAAGAACCUGAUGCUGUGCAUGUUGAGCGUUAUGUGGACCUUCCCUUUAAGGUGUGCGUGGACAAACCGAGCUGCUGCCAUUUUACAGAUCAGGAGCCCAUCGGAGCCACCCUCCUUAGCAUGGGUGGUGGGAGCACUUUUUGCCUCCUUGAGUACUUCGGUGUGAAUGAGAUGGAGCGUAUCAUGCGAUUGAUGACAUUUUCUCUCAAAUAUGACAAGUAUGGAGACCUGACGAUGGGCAAAAGCAUCCAGACUCGGUACAACAGGGUGCCAUCUGAAGUUAGUUUGUCGACGCUUAAGACUCCGGUGGCUUUCUGGAUGUAA